CCUACGGGGUGCUGCAGUGGGGAAUAUUGGACAAUGGGCGAAAGCCUGAUCCAGCCAUGCCGCGUGUGUGAAGAAGGCCUUCGGGUUGUAAAGCACUUUCAGUGGGGAAGAAAGCCUUGGGGCUAAUACCCUCGAGGAAGGACAUCACCCACAGAAGAAGCACCGGCUAACUCCGUGCCAGCAGCCGCGGUAAUACGGAGGGUGCGAGCGUUAAUCGGAAUUACUGGGCGUAAAGCGCGCGUAGGCGGUCUGAUAAGCCGGUUGUGAAAGCCCCGGGCUCAACCUGGGAACGGCAUCCGGAACUGUCAGGCUAGAGUGCAGGAGAGGAAGGUAGAAUUCCCGGUGUAGCGGUGAAAUGCGUAGAGAUCGGGAGGAAUACCAGUGGCGAAGGCGGCCUUCUGGACUGACACUGACGCUGAGGUGCGAAAGCGUGGGUAGCAAACAGGAUUAGAUACCCUGGUAGUC
This 465-nucleotide ribosomal RNA is filed under the name Vreelandella stevensii. Its description in RNAcentral is "partial 16S ribosomal RNA". It matches the Rfam family "Bacterial small subunit ribosomal RNA", at positions 338 to 795 of the family's 1533-position model. The record is from RNAcentral. Lineage: Bacteria; Pseudomonadati; Pseudomonadota; Gammaproteobacteria; Oceanospirillales; Halomonadaceae.